RNAcentral lists this ribosomal RNA (442 nucleotides) under uncultured bacterium. Its description in RNAcentral is "partial 16S ribosomal RNA". It matches the Rfam family "Bacterial small subunit ribosomal RNA", at positions 338 to 795 of the family's 1533-position model. The record is from RNAcentral.
CCUACGGGAGACAGCAGUGGGGAAUAUUGGGCAAUGGGCGCAAGCCUGACCCAGCAACGCCGCGCGAAGGAAGAAGGCUUUCGGGAUGUAAACUUCUUUUGUCAGGGAAGAGUAGAAGACGGUACCUGACGAAUAAGCCACGGCUAACUACGUGCCAGCAGACGCGGUAAUACGUAGGUGGCAAGCGUUGUCCGGAUUUACUGGGUGUAAAGGGCGUGUAGCCGGGUUGACAAGUCAGAUGUGAAAUCCUGCGGCUUAACCGCAGAACUGCAAUUGAAACUGUUGAUCUUGAGUACUGGAGAGGCAGACGGAAUGCCUAGUGUAGCGGUGAAAUGCGUAGAUAUUAGGAGGAACACCAGUGGCGAAGGCGGUCUGCUGGACAGCAACUGACGGUGAGGCGCGAAAGCGUGGGGAGCAAACAGGAUUAGAUACCCCUGUAGUC